Molecule: ribosomal RNA, 305 nt
Filed under: uncultured bacterium
Lineage: Bacteria
Description: bacterial SSU rRNA
Rfam family: Bacterial small subunit ribosomal RNA
Source: RNAcentral
UUACCUACGGGGGGCAGCAGUGAGGAAUAUUGGUCAAUGGUCGGGAGACUGAACCAGCCAAGCCGCGUGAGGGAUGAAGGUACAGAGUAUCGUAAACCUCUUUUGUCAGGGAACAAAGGCGGGGACGUGUCCCCGGAUGAGUGUACCUGAAGAAAAAGCAUCGGCUAACUCCGUGCCAGCAGCCGCGGUAAUACGGAGGAUGCGAGCGUUAUCCGGAUUUAUUGGGUUUAAAGGGUGCGUAGGCGGACGCUUAAGUCAGCGGUAAAAUUGCGGGGCUCAACCUCGUCGCGCCGUUGAAACUGGGG